UACGGGGGGGGCAAGCGUUGUUCGGAAUUAUUGGGCGUAAAGAGCUCGUAGGCGGUCUGUCGCGUCUGCUGUGAAAACUCAGGGCUUAACCCUGAGCUUGCAGUGGGUACGGGCAGACUAGAGUGCGGUAGGGGAGACUGGAAUUCCUGGUGUAGCGGUGAAAUGCGCAGAUAUCAGGAGGAACACCGGUGGCGAAGGCGGGUCUCUGGGCCGAAAUUGACGCUGAGGAGCGAAAGCGUGGGGAGCGAACAGG
This 253-nucleotide ribosomal RNA is filed under the name uncultured bacterium. RNAcentral's name for it is "partial 16S ribosomal RNA". It matches the Rfam family "Bacterial small subunit ribosomal RNA", at positions 524 to 776 of the family's 1533-position model. The record is from RNAcentral.